AGAGUUUGAUUAUGGCUCAGAAUGAACGCUGGCGACAUGGAUUAGGCAUGCAAGUCGAACGAGAAAGCGGUUUCGGCCGCGAGUAAAGUGGCGAAAGGGUGAGUAGCACGCGGGGAACCUGCCCCGGGGGACCGGAACAAGCCUGUGAAAACGGGUCUGAGACCGGAUGCCGCCCGGCCGCAUGGGCCGGAGGCGAAAGAUUCAUCGCCCCGGGAUGGCCCCGCGCCCCAUUAGCUAGUUGGCGGGGUGAAGGCCCACCAAGGCCUGCGACGGGUAGGUGGUCUGAGAGGAUGGUCACCCACACUGGGACUGAGACACUGCCCAGACUCCUACGGGAGGCUGCAGUCGAGAAUCUUCCGCAAUGGGCGCCAAGCCUGACGGAGCGAUGCCGCGUGGGGACGAAGGCCCUCGGGUCGUAAACCCCUGUCGGACGGGACGAAUGAAGCGACGGUACCGUCCAAGGAAGCCACGGCUAACCACGUGCCAGCAGCGGC
RNAcentral lists this ribosomal RNA (494 nucleotides) under uncultured bacterium. RNAcentral describes it as "bacterial SSU rRNA". It matches the Rfam family "Bacterial small subunit ribosomal RNA", at positions 8 to 518 of the family's 1533-position model. The record is from RNAcentral.